This 305-nucleotide ribosomal RNA is filed under the name uncultured bacterium. RNAcentral describes it as "bacterial SSU rRNA". It matches the Rfam family "Bacterial small subunit ribosomal RNA", at positions 337 to 640 of the family's 1533-position model. The record is from RNAcentral.
UCCUACGGGGGGCAGCAGUGAGGAAUAUUGGUCAAUGGGCGCAGGCCUGAACCAGCCAAGUCGCGUGAGGGAAGACUGCCCUAUGGGUUGUAAACCUCUUUUAUAAGGGAAGAAUAAUGACUACGUGUAGUCAGAUGCCCGUACCUUAUGAAUAAGCAUCGGCUAACUCCGUGCCAGCAGCCGCGGUAAUACGGAGGAUGCGAGCGUUAUCCGGAUUUAUUGGGUUUAAAGGGUGCGCAGGCGGCACGGCAAGCCGGCGGUCAAAUCGCGGGGCUCAACCCCGCCCAGCCGUCGGAACUGCCGGG